Patiria miniata (bat star) is the source of this 1240-nucleotide long non-coding RNA. RefSeq lists it as uncharacterized. The record is from RefSeq and is a predicted model, not a curated record. NCBI's taxonomy places the organism in Eukaryota, Metazoa, Echinodermata, Asteroidea, Valvatida, Asterinidae. The transcript is spliced from 2 exons.
UUGCAGCGACCAUUUCCCUGCAGAGUGCUUCAAGGUGGAAUGGGGGAAAACACGUCUGCGUGUCGAUGCCAUACCGUCAAUCUUUGAAGACUACCCGACUCAUUUGAAGCCUAAAGACUACAGUCUCGUGUAUGGACUUCAGCACGAGAGAGAAAAGCUGCCAACGGCAAGGAAAGAACCGACCCAAGCCCCCGUCGAAGAUAUUGCUUCAGUGCACGGCUGUACCGGCAAAACAAACAUCAGCGAUAGAGCAUGCAUACAGUCUACCACCAGAAAUGGAUCUACCCUCGAAAGUAGCAGGAAGGCUAUAUAUUCCAAGCUUGAACAGGAAAACAGACAACUCCGGCAGGAAAAUCGACGAUCAUGUCGAAAAAGAUCUUAUCCGUCAAAGAGGUGGUAAAAGGCCUGUAAGAGGAGCAACUUGUUACUCCAGAGAUGGCCGACCAGAUGGAAACACAGUUUCCUAUUCUGCAAUUGGAAGUCACUUUGCUGGAGCUGGGAAAACUGCGCCUUGCUCAACGAAUCACAAUCAUAGUGAACAGAUGAAGAAGUUUGCACUGCUCGACAAAAGCGUACGUCUUCGUCAGAAAGAAGAUUGCACUGCCGACUGUGCGUAGUGAGGAGAUAGCUGGCCACGCAUGCAUGACUGGGCCUCGUGCGUGGACCAUAGCUAAAAUUUAACAAGUUUCGCUUAGUAUUUCGUUAUCGUCUUAUUGUUGCUCCUCAGAAAUUGAAAGAUUGAAUAGCCCUCUGUUUGCGUUCAUGCAUAUGAGGAAGAUAUAUUGGAUUACUUAUUCUGGUUCAUAAAUUUAUGGGAAGCAAUACUCACCUGCUGGUAGUUGCAUAGGCUAGACCUUUAUAUAAAUAUUCGGAUGGUGACAACCAAAUGUAUUUUUUUCAUGAGCAAUGAUAUUCUUGACACCUUGAUUAAUGGCUAUGGAUAUGGAACUGCCAUUUCAUCAGUGUAUUUAUUAGCUAACGAGUAAUUUUUCAUUGUAUAUAAAUUGUUUAUUACCUAAAAGUUAUUUAAGUAUUAGUUUGUUCAGUAUUCACAACAGAUGGCCAGAGACUUGUUUUUGUAGUCAUCCAUUCAUUUCAAAUGUAAUGUUCCUAUUGAUGUUAGCAGUAUUAAAGCAAAGCAAUAUUUCGAGUGCCCGUUUUUAUCGUUGCUCAUUUACAAAAUGAUUUUCUGUUAUUUCAUUUUGAUGUUGGUAAAAUUAAAAGUUUAUGUUUUGUCUGA